This 3023-nucleotide long non-coding RNA is filed under the name Sus scrofa (pig). RNAcentral describes it as "lncRNA (ENSSSCG00000055313.1, ENSSSCG00110010170.1)". Lineage: Eukaryota; Metazoa; Chordata; Mammalia; Artiodactyla; Suidae. The record is from RNAcentral.
GCUUCUGCUUGGCACGAGGAGGCGGCCCCUGUUUCCCGCUGCGGCAGUGCCCGGCUCAGAAUGGGGAGGGGGCGUGGCGCAUCUUCAGAGCAAACUCCGGCGGACUUGACCUUCUCCCGCUACCAAGGUGUGGGGCCCUCGGAGGCUGAGGGGUGAGCGGACAGCCACGGUCUCUGUCUCCUUGACCAUUGCUUUUCAAGCCGCCGACGGCUAGGACGCCAGGUCUCAGUCGGCUGGUGUUGGAGGCCCCUCUCUAGAUGGAUCCGCAGUGCUGUGUCCCAGUCUCGGCGUCGCGCGGAGCCUCAGGACUCCUGGGUCCCCGUCCUGGCUGCCGGAGCCGGUCCCCGGUGGGCGCACGGACAGAAGGAUGGUGCCGAGCGCCUCUCACCGGUUCCGACCUCCCGCCCGGCCCCCACGCUGCGCCGCAUCCGGCAGGCUGAUGCACUGGAGGAGGAGACCAGAAAAGGAGAUUGGAAUGAGGGGCCUCUCCCCCGGGUAGCCUCCCUGGCCUUGCCCGGACCAGCACCCCUUGGCCUCAGAGUCUGGGCGAGGGCGUCUUCCGCCCCCACGUGUCGCCUCUGCUGACUCGAAGCGCGAGCUGCUAGCCAGCCCUAGUUCCCGAGAGGCCAAGGACCGGGGGCCGCAGGCGGUAGCGGCCGGGAGAUCACGACCCCGGGGGGGUCCAUCUCUUGCACCCAGGCUUGGCUGCCUCAGUGGGCUCCAGAGAUCUUGCGCCAGCAGGGCUCAGCGCAGGGUGCUUUCCCCCACCCCUUGCAGACCAGCCACCGGCUUCCUAGCAAACCGCCGGGGGCGCCUGCAAGAGACCGAGCCUUUCAGUGGGCGCUGGCGCCGCGCUCGGGUCUCACCUCCCGGGGAGUGCCCCCUCGGCGCCGCUCUGUCAGGACUGUGCUUCAGGUCCUCUCCUCGCAGCAGUUCUGCCCUGCAGAGCGAGGCGGGGAGCAGAGGUCCUCGCCGGGCUCUGCCUCGCCUGGUCCGCGCGCUCCGGCGCUGCAACAGGUGGAGCCGAGGCAGCGGCGGUGGCGACUCUACCCGGCCUCUCGCCUCCCCGCCGCGCGGGGCGGCUCCCAGCACUAGUCUCCGCCUACUGAUGCCGGCUCUCGGCUGGGCCACCGGGGGCUGCGGCGCUCCUAUCUCAGCGCUGGACCGGCAGAUUCCGGGAGUGGGUGCUGAAGUGGAGGGUCAGGUGCUUAGCGGGCCUGUGUGGGCCCCUCCAGGGCCAGAAGAGGGCGCUCUGUCCCCUUCAGACACGUCUCUACCCCACCUGCGCACCCGGCCACACACUGCCCCUCCGGAAUUACCAGCCCCUGGCAUGUGGGAGUGAAUAUGAAUGCAGGAAGAAUAGAUGCGUGGGCAUCUUGGAACUAAGUAGAAUCCCCCCCCCCACUUCCCGAGAGAGAAAUCCCAGCCUCAGAGCCCACCCACCUAAUACUCCCCAGGAGCAGAGAAUAAAGAAACACACACUUCCGGAUUCCAAUACAUCUGCCAUCAGAAGCCUUGUUGCUGCUAGUAUUCCUCUCCCACUCCUCUCCCGUUAUCCACCUCCGAAAUGUCCCUCGUUUAUCUAGCCUAUCGAGGGCAAGAGCUUUAGAGGGUAGCGCUUACAGGAGGAGCUUGUGUAUACACUCAGGGUGAGCCCUGCAAUUACUCCUCCACCUCAUUUUACCAUGAAAAAUUUCAAGCAUAAAGUUGAAAGAAUUUUACAGUGAGUAGCCAUAUACUCAACAUUUUACUGUACCUGUUUUAUUACAUAUCUAUUCAUCCCUCUUUCUAUCCCUCAACUCACCUUGUUUGGGUGCAUUUCAAAGUAAGUUGCAGGAGUUCCCCGUUGUGGCUCAGUGGAAACGGAUCUGACUAGCAUCCAUGAGGAUGCAGGUUCGAUCCCUGGCCUCGCUCAUUGGUUAAGGAUAUGGCAUUGCCGUGAGCUGUGGUGUAGGUUGAAGGCACUGCUCGGAUCCCAAGUUGCUGUGGCUGUGGUGUAGGCCGGCAGCUACACAACUCCUAUUGGACCCCUAGCAGGGGAACCUCCAUAUGCGGCAGGAGUGGCCCUACAAAGACAAAACAAACAAACAAACAAACAAACAAAAACAGUUGCAGACAUCAGUACUAUCCCUUCCCACACCCCUGUUCUUCCUGCAUAUAAUUAACUAGGGUUCAGUACAGCCCUAUUUACUUACAUUUUCUUUUCUUUAGGGGUAAAAUUUACAUAGAGCGAAAUGCACAGAUCUUAAGUGUACUAUUAGAAGAGUUCUGGUAAAUGCAUACAUACACUUUUGCAAAUUAAACACCUACCUAUCCAACCUAUCAACCAAAUAUCAUCAAGUGCAUAUCCACAUGUCCCUUCGCAGCAAAUCCCCAACCACUCUCCUCCAGAGGAAGUCACUCUUCUGAAUUUUUCUACCACCGGCUAGUUUUCCCUUUAUAGAACUUAGUUUUGCUUGUUCUAGAUCUUCGUAUAAAUGGAAUCAUUACACAGUUAUGUAUUCUUUUGUGUAAAGCAGUUUCUGAGAUAUCUCCAUGUUGUAUGUCUCAGUAAUUUGUUCCUUUUUACUGCUAGUUUUUUUGUUUGAAUAUUCAUUCUCUUAUUGAUAGAAACCAGGGCUGUUAGAAAUUUUUGACUAUCACAAAUACAACUGUUAGGAACAUUCUUGCACAAGUGUUUGUGGAUAUAUGUUUUCAUGCUUCUUGGGUAAAAAUACCUAAGAGUGGAAUUGUUGGGUCAUAGGGGUGGUAUGUAUUUAAUUUUAUAAGCAACUGCCUAACAUUUUUCCAAAGUAGCUGUUCUAACCUACAAAGUGUAGGCUUUGGAUGUCCUACAUUUGGCAGUAUCAGUCAUUUUAACUUUAAACAUACUGGUGGAUGGGUAGUGGUAUCUCAUUAUAGUUUAAUUUGCAUUUCCCUGAUGAUUAAUGUGCUUGUUGGCCAUUCAUAUACCUUUUAAAAUUAUUUGUUGAAAUAUUGUAAAAUUUCUCUUGAAUUUCCAUUAAAAAUUGGUUUCUCUUUUU